This 2426-nucleotide long non-coding RNA is filed under the name Homo sapiens (human). Its description in RNAcentral is "non-protein coding lnc-LRFN3-59:2". Lineage: Eukaryota; Metazoa; Chordata; Mammalia; Primates; Hominidae. The record is from RNAcentral.
AUGUUAUGCCAUGAGUCAUGGGACCAGCCUGAGUCCUGGGGGACCUCGUCUGACCACACCCUACUCCCCAAGUCCCCAGCAGUAUCAUGAGAUCCUUCUUGUUGUUUGUUAGCCUUGGACAGCUGAAGUCAGGUAUUUGCGAUCAGAAUCAUUUGGAACUUGCUGAAUUGUUUGGAAAAUCCUUCUGUAGAGGAGAAGAACUUGUUGCCUUCUGAUGAACUGCUUUAACAUUAGUGUUGCUGGGCUGUGCCUCGGUGCCUUGGGUUUCCUACAGGGUGAGUGCCCCAGAAGGAACACAGAAAGCUGGGCUGCCGCUUCAUCACGGCUUUCUCGGAAAACGGGGGCGCUGAGAAGCCCAACUUCCAGCUAUAUAUGUCGCCACCGCCCACAGGGCCCCCGACGGCGAUGCUGGUGACAGCGCUCCCUGCGUGGGCGCCACUCUCCCCGUGCUCCCCGCGCCUGCAGCCAGGCACGACGGUGUGGGUGUGCCCGCCCGGGGCAGAGGAGCUGCAGGGCUCGCGGCAGGCGGCGCUGUGCAAGCAGCGACGUCGCGGCCCGAGGAAGUGGAGGCGGUGAACGCGCGUGGGCGCGCCUCCCGGGACACGGCGCUGGCUCUGCGGCGCUACCUGCUGGGCACUCCCUAAUCGAUGGUGACGCCGUCGCUGCCGCCCGGCGACCGGCACAAGGAGUUUGCGGUGGUGGCGGGCGCUGGGCCCACGCUCUUGAGGCGCCUCAAGCCCCCUAAGCCUGUUCUGCUGGACCGCGUAGGCCACCCUGCCCGCUGGCCCCAUCCAUUGAGCCUUGAAGGCUUCCAGAGGCGCUGCAGUUGCAGAGAGCAGGAGACCUAUCCGGCACCCGCGUCGUGGCCGCCCAUCCUGUCGCGCUGCUGGCUGGCCUCAGUUGUCUGCAAGCGAGAAGCAAGGCCUGUGGCCACGCGUUUGGACGACCGCCGCCCCAGGGUCGCUGGAGUGGUCUCCACACGGUGCCCCACUUUGCCCCAGAGCGUCCCGGGCGCCGAGACUGCGUGUUCCUGGAGGCUAGUGGCCCGGGUAGCCUGUGCUCCUGGUGCUGCGACGCCGACCGGGCGUGCGUGGGCUCUGCGCCCUGGCACGGUGCUGCGCUCUGUGGUGGACCAGUGCACUCUCUGGCUUUGCGCUCUUCGGCUGGCGUGCAGGUGUUUUUCCCCCCGAGGCCGCCGCGGCCCGCGGGGGUUGACACCUACGAUCCCUCCUUCGCGCUUAUGCCCUGGUGGGCGCGUUCAGCUGCAGCUUCGCAAGCAUGGUGCAGCCAAACUUUUCCAACGUGGAAUUUGCACCUGCCCCGGUGCUCCCGGACUGCCUGCUGGGCCCGAGCCGCGUCAUGAGCAGCAUUCUGACCAAAGGCUGGUCCCGGCUCAGGGCUUCGCCUGGACUGAGGUGGCCUAGGGGCGCAGGUGCAGGGCAGUGCAAGACCUGUAGAGAGGCGGGGCGCCCAUGGGCAUGUUUAGCUUCGGCAUCGCCCAAGGCGCAGGCUUCGGGACCCAGGCCGUAGGGCAGCCGGCGGCAGAUGAGCAGCCCUGAGGGCCCAAGGGUUUGGGGAGGUGAACCGGCAAUGGGAUUCGUGGAUAUUAGGAUUGGAGAAAAUCAUAACACUACAUUCCAUUGCUUAUAUAACAAGAGAGGUAGUUUUUUUUGUUUUUGUUUUUGUUUUUGUUUGGUGGUUUUUUUUUGUUGUUGUUGUUUGUUUUGGUUUGGUUUUGCUUUGCACCCCACCCGACCCUCAAUUUUUGUAUUUUUACUAGAGACUGGGUAUCAGCAUGUUGGCCAGGCUGGUCUUGAGCUCCUGACCUUAGGUGAUCCACCCGCCUCGGCUUCCCAAAGAGCUGGGAUUACAGGCCUGAGCCACUGCGCCCGGCCCAGAGAGUCAUCCUGGAGAUGGGUCUUUUUGUUAUCCUCAUUUCAUAGAGAAGACAGUUGAAGGUUUAAGCCAUGAAAUCACUGCCCAAGGCCACAUGCUGAACAGAUGUCAGCUUUGAACCCCAAGCCUGCUUGGGCUGCUGGGAAACAGGCAUGUUGUCUCAGAGGGCACCGCGCUCGGCGAAGACUCAGCGAGACUGGACGCUGACCAUGGUUCUGAACACACUGUGCUGCGGGACCUGGGCUUUUCCUGUAACCCUGAAAUCCCAUUCAACCUCUUACGGUCCUGAGAAACAACGGAAGACCAGGGAGAUGAGAGAAAAGUGAGGGAAUGCUGAGAGAGAGAGGCUGGGUUUCUUAGAAAUGAAGACAAGGACUUCAAUUCAUUUAUUUAUAACAGCUCAGAGCUGGACUCUGGAGCCAAGAGUCCUGGAUGCAAAUCCUGCUCCAAGCUGUGUGAUUCUGCAUAAGUCAAUUCAUUUCUCUGACUAUCUACUUCCCCUCUAUUAAAGGUGGAUAAUAGUAUGAACA